GAUGAACGCUGGCGGCGUGCUUAACACAUGCAAGUCGAACGGUCGCAAGACAGUGGCGCACGGGUGAGGAACACGUAGCUUAUCUGCCCCGAAGUGUGGGAUAACGCCCCGAAAGGGGUGCUAAUACCGCAUAAGCUCCCGGACUACAGAGGUCAGGGAGAAAAGGCGCAAGUCGCUUUGGGAGGAGGCUGCGGCCCAUCAGGUAGUUGGUGCGGUAACGGCGCACCAAGCCAACGACGGGUAGGGGACCUGAGAGGGUGAUCCCCCACA
RNAcentral lists this ribosomal RNA (270 nucleotides) under uncultured bacterium. RNAcentral's name for it is "partial 16S ribosomal RNA". It matches the Rfam family "Bacterial small subunit ribosomal RNA", at positions 28 to 312 of the family's 1533-position model. The record is from RNAcentral.